This 1034-nucleotide long non-coding RNA is filed under the name Cucumis sativus (cucumber). RNAcentral describes it as "long non-coding RNA (CSAT_LNC000713)". The record is from RNAcentral. Lineage: Eukaryota; Viridiplantae; Streptophyta; Magnoliopsida; Cucurbitales; Cucurbitaceae.
AAUCAUGGACGGACUGAUGUGGCCUGAAUGCUUCGUCAAGAUCGCAGACAAAAUUAUGACUGUCUUCUUCCGGUUUGGGGAAGGCGUCGCCAGAAGCACCAAAGAGCCGCAGAAACUGUUCAAGCUCUUGGACAUGUUCGACUCCAUGGAAAAACUCGACUCCGAAUUCUCUGAGGCAUUUAGCGGCGAAGCCGGCGCCGAAAUCCGUACACGAUACAGAGAGCUCGAGAAGCUACUCGUGCACGCAUCCAGCAAAGUUUUUUGGGAUUUCGGCCUUCAAAUCGAGGGAAAUUCAGACGGAUUUCCACCUCCAAAAGACGGAUCGGUUCCUAAACUAGUCCGUUACGCCGUCAACUACCUCAAGUACCUUGCAAGCGACAACUACAGUUCCGCCAUGGCUAAAGUUCUCCAAAUACAAAAGUCGUGGAAGGGCGGAUUCCUCUCAAAAUUGGAAGCGGAGGAGAAUUUGCUUAAAGACGCCUUCUCCAACGUAAUGGAAGCCCUACAAAGAAACGUGGAAUCCAAAAAAUCGCGCUAUAGAGACAAAAUCCUACCGCAUAUCUUCUCAAUGAACACAUACUGGUACAUCUACAUGCGGAUCCGAAACACAGAACUAGGAAGAUUGCUAGGUGAACAGUAUAUGCGAAAAAAUUACAAAGCAGUAGCAGAAGAAUCGGCUUACACUUAUCAAAUGCUAUGUUGGGAGCCUCUGCUUUCGGUAAUGGACAUGGACGACAUGCGAUUACAGAACAUGGAAACGGUGGAAGAUUUAGCGAAAACAAAAAUGGAAUCAUUCGUGAAGGCACUAAGAGAAUUCUCACAGAAACAUAGAGCGACGUACUCCAUCCCAGAUUUGGAUUUGCGGGAGCAGUUGAAAGAGGCAACUCUGAAGAUGAUACUCCCGGCUUAUACAGAGUUUUUCAAUUUGCAUUCGGCUUUGUUGCCGGGAAUUGGGAAGUAUUACGUGGGCCUAGAGACGAUCCAUGACUUUGUGGGCCGGGCCUUUGAGUUCGAAGGUGGGAGUGGGCCUGGGU